AGAGCGAACGCUGGCGGCAGGCCUAACACAUGCAAGUCGAGCGCCCGUAGCAAUACGGGAGCGGGCAGACGGGAUAGUAACACGUGGGAACGCGCCCUUCGGUUCGGAAUAACUCAGGGAAACUUGAGCUAAUACCGGAUACGCCCUUACGGGGAAAGAUUUAUUGCCGAAGGAACGGCCCGCGUCCGAUUAGCUAGUUGGUGAGGUAAUGGCUCACCAAGGCGACGAUCGGUAGCUGGUCUGAGAGGAUGACCAGCAUCACUGGGACUGAGACACGGCCCAGACUCCUACGGGAGGCAGCAGUGGGGAAUAUUGGACAAUGGGCGCAAGCCUGAUCCAGCCAUGCCGCGUGGAUGAUGAAGGCCCUAGGGUUGUAAAGUCCGUUUUAACGGGGAAGAUAAUGACGGUACCCGUAGAAUAAGCCCCGGCUAACGUUCGUGCCAGCAGCCGC
Molecule: ribosomal RNA, 451 nt
Filed under: uncultured bacterium
Lineage: Bacteria
Description: SSU rRNA
Rfam family: Bacterial small subunit ribosomal RNA
Source: RNAcentral